GUGCACGUAGUUUAAACGGAAAAACAACUGCCUGAUAAGCAGUAGAUGAGGUUCGAGUCCUUGCCGUGCACU
This 72-nucleotide transfer RNA is filed under the name Candidatus Kerfeldbacteria bacterium RIFCSPHIGHO2_12_FULL_48_17. RNAcentral's name for it is "tRNA-Ile". It matches the Rfam family "tRNA". From Rfam's summary of the family: Transfer RNA (tRNA) molecules are approximately 80 nucleotides in length. The record is from RNAcentral. Lineage: Bacteria; Candidatus Kerfeldiibacteriota.